Long non-coding RNA from Trachemys scripta elegans, 397 nucleotides. RefSeq lists it as uncharacterized. The record is from RefSeq and is a predicted model, not a curated record. NCBI's taxonomy places the organism in Eukaryota, Metazoa, Chordata, Testudines, Emydidae. The transcript has 3 exons.
CGUCAACAAACUAGCCAGUGCAAAAUAUCAAAGAGCAAAAAUCCAACAAGAUGUUUAGCUGGAGCAUUCAGCCACUUUACUUUCUAUUGCUUCCUUUUUCCCAUUAAGGGCCUGAUCCUGCAAACACACAUCAUUCAUAUUUUCCAUCAUAUGGCAGGGCAGAAGCUUCCUUAUUCGCUUUGUUUCUCUCCCUGAGAAGCAUCAUUAUCACCCCGAGAGAGAGAUGUGCACUCAGCCAUGGCCACAAGCAAGGCUAUAGAGAUAUCCAGGAUUAUGUUCCACCUCACCACAACCUCAGUCUUGUCUGAGCCUGCAGUGGAUCAGUUCCCUCAAACCACCAGUCCCUUAUCCACUGAAAACUCACAGAAUUACCGGGCCUCAAAGAAUACAGAUUCAA